Molecule: ribosomal RNA, 253 nt
Filed under: uncultured bacterium
Lineage: Bacteria
Description: partial 16S ribosomal RNA
Rfam family: Bacterial small subunit ribosomal RNA
Source: RNAcentral
UACGUAGGGUGCAAGCGCUGUCCGGAAUCAUUGGGCGUAAAGCGCGUGUAGGCGGUCCGGUAAGUCCGCUGUGAAAGUCGGGGGCUCAACCCUCGGAUGCCGGUGGAUACUGUCGGGCUUGAGUACGGAAGAGGCGAGUGGAAUUCCUGGUGUAGCGGUGAAAUGCGCAGAUAUCAGGAGGAACACCGGUGGCGAAGGCGGGUCUCUGGGCCGAUACUGACGCUGAGGAGCGAAAGCGUGGGGAGCGAACAGG